GACGAACGCUGGCGGCGUGCCUAAUACAUGCAAGUAGAACGCACAGUUUAUACCGUAGCUUGCUACACCAUAAACUGUGAGUUGCGAACGGGUGAGUAACGCGUAGGUAACCUGCCUGGUAGCGGGGGAUAACUAUUGGAAACGAUAGCUAAUACCGCAUAAUAUUGAUUAUUGCAUGAUAAUUGAUUGAAAGAUGCUAUUGCAUCACUACCAGAUGGACCUGCGUUGUAUUAGCUAGUAGGUGAGGUAACGGCUCACCUAGGCGACGAUACAUAGCCGACCUGAGAGGGUGAUCGGCCACACUGGGACUGAGACACGUCCCAGACUCCUACGGGAGGCAGCAGUAGGGAAUCUUCGGCAAUGGACGAAAGUCUGACCGAGCAACGCCGCGUGAGUGAAGAAGGUUUUCGGAUCGUAAAGCUCUGUUGUAAGAGAAGAACGGGUGUGAGAGUGGAAAGUUCACACUGUGACGGUAUCUUACCAGAAAGAGACGGCUAACUACGUG
Molecule: ribosomal RNA, 505 nt
Filed under: uncultured bacterium
Lineage: Bacteria
Description: partial 16S ribosomal RNA
Rfam family: Bacterial small subunit ribosomal RNA
Source: RNAcentral